GACGAACGCUGGCGGCGUGCCUAAUACAUGCAAGUUGAGCGCUGAAGGUUGGUACUUGUACCAACUGGAUGAGCAGCGAACGGGUGAGUAACGCGUGGGGAAUCUGCCUUUGAGCGGGGGACAACAUUUGGAAACGAAUGCUAAUACCGCAUAAAAACUUUAAACACAAGUUUUAAGUUUGAAAGAUGCAAUUGCAUCACUCAAAGAUGAUCCCGCGUUGUAUUAGCUAGUUGGUGAGGUAAAGGCUCACCAAGGCGAUGAUACAUAGCCGACCUGAGAGGGUGAUCGGCCACAUUGGGACUGAGACACGGCCCAAACUCCUACGGGAGGCAGCAGUAGGGAAUCUUCGGCAAUGGACGAAAGUCUGACCGAGCAACGCCGCGUGAGUGAAGAAGGUUUUCGGAUCGAAAAACUCUGUUGGUAGAGAAGAACGUUGGUGAGAGUGGAAAGCUCAUCAAGUGACGGUAACUACCCAGAAGAGAACGGCUAACUACGUG
RNAcentral lists this ribosomal RNA (497 nucleotides) under uncultured bacterium. RNAcentral describes it as "partial 16S ribosomal RNA". It matches the Rfam family "Bacterial small subunit ribosomal RNA", at positions 28 to 507 of the family's 1533-position model. The record is from RNAcentral.